ACCGCUUCUCAGCCUUUUGGCUAAGAUCAAGUGUAGUAUCUGUUCUUAUCAGUUUAAAUAUGCUAGGUGCAGUGGCCCACAUCUGUAAUCCCA
Molecule: small nuclear RNA, 93 nt
Filed under: Ictidomys tridecemlineatus (thirteen-lined ground squirrel)
Lineage: Eukaryota; Metazoa; Chordata; Mammalia; Rodentia; Sciuridae
Description: Spermophilus tridecemlineatus (thirteen-lined ground squirrel) U2 spliceosomal RNA
Rfam family: U2 spliceosomal RNA
About the family: U2 is a small nuclear RNA (snRNA) component of the spliceosome (involved in pre-mRNA splicing). Complementary binding between U2 snRNA (in an area lying towards the 5' end but 3' to hairpin I) and the branchpoint sequence (BPS) of the intron results the bulging out of an unpaired adenosine, on the BPS, which initiates a nucleophilic attack at the intronic 5' splice site, thus starting the first of two transesterification reactions that mediate splicing.
Source: Rfam by way of RNAcentral